Molecule: ribosomal RNA, 253 nt
Filed under: uncultured bacterium
Lineage: Bacteria
Description: partial 16S ribosomal RNA
Rfam family: Bacterial small subunit ribosomal RNA
Source: RNAcentral
UACGUAGGGAGCCAGCGUUGUCCGGAUUUACUGGGCGUAAAGAGCGCGUAGGCGGUUUUGUAAGCGGAGGGUGAAAUACCGGGGCUCAACUCCGGUGCUGCUUUCCGAACUGCAAGACUAGAGUACGGGAGAGGACAGUGGAAUUCCUGGUGUAGCGGUGGAAUGCGUAAAUAUCAGGAGGAACACCCGUGGCGAAGGCUGCUGUCUGGAACGUUACUGACGCUGAGGCGCGAAAGCUAGGGGAGCGAACGGG